This is a non-coding RNA of Brassica rapa (field mustard), 100 nucleotides long. The record is from Rfam. Lineage: Eukaryota; Viridiplantae; Streptophyta; Magnoliopsida; Brassicales; Brassicaceae.
GUAUCUUCAAAGACAUCUUAUAAAAUUGGAACGAUACAGAAAAUAUUAUCAUGAUCUUGCGCAAAGAUGACACAUAAAUCGAGAAAUAGUCUAACUUCAA